GGGAUGUUAACUUAAAUUUUAAAGUAUUAGACUUUUAAUCUAAAGAUGUUUACACAUUUUC
This 61-nucleotide transfer RNA is filed under the name Cucullanus robustus. RNAcentral describes it as "tRNA-Lys". Lineage: Eukaryota; Metazoa; Nematoda; Chromadorea; Rhabditida; Cucullanidae. The record is from RNAcentral.